RNAcentral lists this ribosomal RNA (253 nucleotides) under uncultured bacterium. Its description in RNAcentral is "partial 16S ribosomal RNA". It matches the Rfam family "Bacterial small subunit ribosomal RNA", at positions 524 to 776 of the family's 1533-position model. The record is from RNAcentral.
UACGUAGGGUGCGAGCGUUGUCCGGAAUUAUUGGGCGUAAAGAGCUUGUAGGCGGUUUGUCGCGUCUGCCGUGAAAAUCCGGGGCUCAACCCCGGACUUGCGGUGGGUACGGGCAGACUAGAGUGUGGUAGGGGAGACUGGAAUUCCUGGUGUAGUGGUGAAAUGCGCAGAUAUCAGGAGGAACACCCAUGGCGAAGGCAGCUUACUGGGCAUUAUCUGACGCUGAGGUGCGAAAGCGUGGGGAGCAAACAGG